RNAcentral lists this ribosomal RNA (253 nucleotides) under uncultured bacterium. RNAcentral describes it as "partial 16S ribosomal RNA". It matches the Rfam family "Bacterial small subunit ribosomal RNA", at positions 524 to 776 of the family's 1533-position model. The record is from RNAcentral.
UACGUAGGGUGCAGGCGUUAAUCGGAAUUACUGGGCGUAAAGCGUGCGCAGGCGGUCUGCUAAGACAGGUGUGAAAUCCCCGGGCUUAACCUGGGAACUGCGCUUGUUACUGGCAGGCUGGAGUGUGGCAGAGGGGGGUGGAAUUCCACGUGUAGCGGUGAAAUGCGUAGAGAUGUGGAGGAACACCGAUGGCGAAGGCAGCCCCCUGGGCUAACACUGACGCUCAUGCACGAAAGCGUGGGGAGCAAACAGG